GAUGAACGCUGGCGGCGUGCCUAAUACAUGCAAGUCGAGCGAACGGACGAGAAGCUUGCUUCUCUGAUGUUAGCGGCGAACGGGUGAGUAACACGUGGAUAACCUACCUAUAAGACUGGGAUAACUUCGGGAAACCGGAGCUAAUACCGGAUAAUAUUUUGAACCGCAUGGUUCAAAAGUGAAAGACGGUCUUGCUGUCACUUAUAGAUGGAUCCGCGCUGCAUUAGCUAGUUGGUAAGGUAACGGCUUACCAAGGCAACGAUGCAUAGCCGACCUGAGAGGGUGAUCGGCCACACUGGAACUGAGACACGGUCCAGACUCCUACGGGAGGCAGCAGUAGGGAAUCUUCCGCAAUGGGCGAAAGCCUGACGGAGCAACGCCGUGUGAGUGAUGAAGGUCUUCGGAUCGUAAAACUCUGUUAUUAGGGAAGAACAUAUGUGUAAGUAACUGUGCACAUCUUGACGGUACCUAAUCAGAAAGCCACGGCUAACUACGUG
This 497-nucleotide ribosomal RNA is filed under the name uncultured bacterium. Its description in RNAcentral is "partial 16S ribosomal RNA". It matches the Rfam family "Bacterial small subunit ribosomal RNA", at positions 28 to 507 of the family's 1533-position model. The record is from RNAcentral.